This is a long non-coding RNA of Phyllostomus discolor (pale spear-nosed bat), 547 nucleotides long. RefSeq lists it as uncharacterized. The transcript has 2 exons. The record is from RefSeq and is a predicted model, not a curated record. Lineage: Eukaryota; Metazoa; Chordata; Mammalia; Chiroptera; Phyllostomidae.
UUUUGACACCUUCCUGUAUGCAGGGUACUGUGCUAGGUGUUGGGGACAUGAACACCCCACUCUGAAACAUGACCUGUAUGUUUUCUAAAACCUCUUCUAAAAGUGGCUGUGGCCCCAGAGACAGAGCAGCUUGGACACUGGAUAUGGACAUGAAUUGUUGCUUCAUCUCUUGACCCAGAAGCCCCGGCUACUCUACUCAACUGCCCCUGGUAGGGACAACAUGGCUCAAGCCUCCCAGAUUCCACUCAGCCAGCUCAGCUGGGGUUGCUGGACUGGGGGGCCCUCAGGAAGACUGUUUCGGCAGGGUGCCUUCCUCCCUGAUAUGAUGUAAAACACUGUUUCUCUGAACCCACAUCCUAUGAGGUGCUUGGGGAAAAACAGUGCCAACAUGCAGUUGUUUGGUGCUUCUUGUGCCUGGCAGCUGCCUUUGAGUGUUUGGUGGUGUUUUGGUGAGCCACGAAGAAGCUGAGUCUUGUGACAUGAAGAGGUUGUUUUCCUAACCAUAUAUGUCUUCCCAAGAGAACCAAUAAAUAAUGUGGUCACUCUG